RNAcentral lists this ribosomal RNA (253 nucleotides) under uncultured bacterium. RNAcentral's name for it is "partial 16S ribosomal RNA". It matches the Rfam family "Bacterial small subunit ribosomal RNA", at positions 524 to 776 of the family's 1533-position model. The record is from RNAcentral.
AACGUAGGAGACAAACGUUAUCCGGAGUUACUGGGCGUAAAGGGCGUGUAGGUGGUUGAGUAAGUCUGGCGUGAAAUUUUUCGGCUUAACCGGGAAAGGUCGUCGGAUACUGCUUAACUAGAGGACGGUAGAGGCGUGUGGAAUUCCGGGUGUAGUGGUGAAAUGCGUAGAGAUCCGGAGGAACACCAGUGGCGAAGGCGACACGCUGGGCCGUACCUGACACUGAGAGACGAAAGCUAGGGGAGCGAAUGGG